This 1200-nucleotide long non-coding RNA is filed under the name Nothobranchius furzeri (turquoise killifish). Its description in RNAcentral is "lncRNA (ENSNFUG00015009660.1)". Lineage: Eukaryota; Metazoa; Chordata; Actinopteri; Cyprinodontiformes; Nothobranchiidae. The record is from RNAcentral.
AUGUAUACUUCUUUAGCUGUAUGUAUACAUGUUUUGCUGUAUGUAUACUUGUUUUGCUUUAUGUAUACUUGUUUUGCUGUAUGUAUACUUGUUUUGCUGUUUGUGUACAUGUUUUGCUGUAUAUACACAUUUUUGCUUUAUAUACACAUGUUUUGCUAUUUGUAUACAUGCUUUGCUGUAUAUACACAUUUUUGUUGUAUGUAUACUUGUUUAGCUGUAUGUAUACAUGUUUUGCUUUAUGUAUACUUGUUUUGCUGUAUGUAUACUUGUUUUGCUGUAUGUAUACUUGUUUUGCUGUAUGUAUACUUGUUUUGCUGUAUGUAUACUUGUUUUGCUGUAUGUAUACUUGUUUUGCUGUAUGUAUACUUGUUUUGCUGUAUGUAUACUUGUUUUGCUGUAUGUAUACUUGUUUUGCUGUAUGUAUACUUGUUUUGCUGUAUGUAUACUUGUUUUGCUGUAUGUAUACUUGUUUUGCUGUAUGUAUACUUGUUUUGCUGUAUGUAUACUUGUUUUGCUGUAUGUAUACUUGUUUUGCUGUAUGUAUACUUGUUUUGCUGUAUGUAUACUUGUUUUGCUGUAUGUAUACUUGUUUUGCUGUAUGUAUACUUGUUUUGCUGUAUGUAUACUUGUUUUGCUGUAUGUAUACUUGUUUUGCUGUAUGUAUACUUGUUUUGCUGUAUGUAUACUUGUUUUGCUGUAUGUAUACUUGUUUUGCUGUAUGUAUACAUGUUUUGCUGUAUGUAUACUUGUUUUGCUGUAUGUAUACUUGUUUUGCUGUAUGUAUACUUGUUUUGCUGUAUAUACACAUUUUUGCUGUAUGUAUACAUGUUUUGCUGUAUAUACACAUUUUUGCUGAAUGUAUACUUCUUUAGCUGUAUGUAUACAUGUUUUGCUGUAUGUAUACUUGUUUUGCUGUAUGUAUACUUGUUUUGCUGUAUGUAUACUUGUUUUGCUGUAUGUAUACUUUUUUGCUGUAUGUAUACUUGUUUUGCUGUAUGUAUACUUGUUUUGCUGUAUGUAUACUUGUUUUGCUGUAUGUAUGCAUGUUUUGUUGUAUAUACGCAUUUUUGCUGUACAUUUGCAUGUUUUUGCUGUAUGUAUACUUGGUUUUCCUGCAGUGAUUGUUUUGUCUACAUGUUCAAAAACAGAAUUAAACAAAAAAAGAAUUGUAAAGGCUUAAAGUACCUCGGAACUGAUUAA